This 497-nucleotide ribosomal RNA is filed under the name uncultured bacterium. Its description in RNAcentral is "partial 16S ribosomal RNA". It matches the Rfam family "Bacterial small subunit ribosomal RNA", at positions 28 to 507 of the family's 1533-position model. The record is from RNAcentral.
GAUGAACGCUGGCGGCGUGCCUAAUACAUGCAAGUCGAGCGAACAGAUGAGGAGCUUGCUCCUCUGACGUUAUCGGCGGACGGGUGAGUAACACGUGGAUAACCUACCUAUAAGACUGGGAUAACUUCGGGAAACCGGAGCUAAUACCGGAUAAUAUAUUGAACCGCAUGGUUCAAUAGUGAAAGACGGUUUUGCUGUCACUUAUAGAUGGAUCCGCGCCGCAUUAGCUAGUUGGUAAGGUAACGGCUUAACAAGGCAACGAUGCGUAGCCGACCUGAGAGGGUGAUCCGACACACUGGAACUGAGAAACGGUCCCGACUCCUACGGGAGGCCGCAGUAGGGAAUCUUACGCGAUGGGGGAAAGCCUGACGGAGCAACGCCGGGUGAGUGAUGAAGGUCUUCGGCUCGUAAAACUUUGUUAUUAGGGAAGAACAAAUGUGUAAGUAACUAUGAACGUAUUGACGGUACCUAAUCAAAAAGCCACGGCUAACUACGUG